This 446-nucleotide ribosomal RNA is filed under the name uncultured bacterium. Its description in RNAcentral is "bacterial SSU rRNA". It matches the Rfam family "Bacterial small subunit ribosomal RNA", at positions 329 to 792 of the family's 1533-position model. The record is from RNAcentral.
UACCAGACUCCUACGGGAGGCAGCAGUGGGGAAUAUUGCACAAUGGGGGAAACCCUGAUGCAGCGACGCCGCGUGAGCGAUGAAGUAUUUCGGUAUGUAAAGCUCUAUCAGCAGGGAAGAAAAUGACGGUACCUGACUAAGAAGCCCCGGCUAACUACGUGCCAGCAGCCGCGGUAAUACGUAGGGGGCAAGCGUUAUCCGGAUUUACUGGGUGUAAAGGGAGCGUAGACGGCGAUGCAAGCCAGAUGUGAAAGCCCGGGGCUCAACCCCGGGACUGCAUUUGGAACUGCGUGGCUGGAGUGCAGGAGGGGCAGGCGGAAUUCCUGGUGUAGCGGUGAAAUGCGUAGAUAUCAGGAGGAACACCGGCGGCGAAGGCGGCCUGCUGGACCGCGACUGACGUUGAGGCUCGAAAGCGUGGGGAGCAAACAGGAUUAGAUACCCCCGUA